AGCGAACGCUGGCGGCAGGCUUAACACAUGCAAGUCGAGCGGGCCCUUCGGGGUCAGCGGCCGACGGGUUAGUAACACGUGGGAACGUACCCUUUUGUUCGGAAUAACUCUGGGAAACUAGCGCUAAUACCGGAUACGCCCUUUUGGGGAAAGGCUUGCUGCCGAAGGAUCUGCCCGCGUCUGAUUAGCUAGUUGGUGGGGUAAUGGCCUACCAAGGCGACGAUCAGUAGCUGGUCUGAGAGGAUGAUCAGCCACACUGGGACUGAGACACGGCCCAGACUCCUACGGGAGGAAGGAGUGGGGAAUAUUGGACAAUGGGCGCAAGCCUGAUCCAGCCAUGCCGCGUGAGUGAUGAAGGCCUUAGGGUUGUAAAGCUCUUUUGUCCGGGACGAUAAUGACGGUACCGGAAGAAUAAGCCACGGCUAACUUCGUG
RNAcentral lists this ribosomal RNA (433 nucleotides) under uncultured bacterium. Its description in RNAcentral is "partial 16S ribosomal RNA". It matches the Rfam family "Bacterial small subunit ribosomal RNA", at positions 29 to 507 of the family's 1533-position model. The record is from RNAcentral.